RNAcentral lists this transfer RNA (71 nucleotides) under Marmota monax (woodchuck). RNAcentral's name for it is "tRNA.Ala". It matches the Rfam family "tRNA". From Rfam's summary of the family: Transfer RNA (tRNA) molecules are approximately 80 nucleotides in length. The record is from RNAcentral. Lineage: Eukaryota; Metazoa; Chordata; Mammalia; Rodentia; Sciuridae.
GGGGUUGUGGCUCAGUGGUAGAGUGCUUGCCUAGCAUGUGUGAGACACUGAGUUCAAUCCUCAGUACCACA